Molecule: long non-coding RNA, 246 nt
Filed under: Elaeis guineensis (African oil palm)
Lineage: Eukaryota; Viridiplantae; Streptophyta; Magnoliopsida; Arecales; Arecaceae
Description: long non-coding RNA (EGUI_LNC042267)
Source: RNAcentral
UUUCCUCCUUCAACGAAGUCAUCUGACCUCUAUAAAAAGUUCAUGUGAAGAUUGAUGCUGAUCAGGAUCCUUGAAAAUGCUAGCUUGCAAGGAAACUUAGAGGUUGAUUUCUUUCUUCUUUAAGGGCCUUGGAUGCUCCAAAGGAUGAAGAGAUCUAGAGGAGGAAGAGAGGAAGAGGAGAAAGAGCUCUGAAAAACAAAAACCAGCAAGGGAACCAAUCUUAGGCAUCAACAAUAUGAGACCCCU